Daphnia pulex (common water flea) is the source of this 805-nucleotide long non-coding RNA. RefSeq lists it as uncharacterized. The record is from RefSeq and is a predicted model, not a curated record. The transcript is spliced from 7 exons. Lineage: Eukaryota; Metazoa; Arthropoda; Branchiopoda; Diplostraca; Daphniidae.
UGGAAAGUUUCUUUCAAAAAUCAAGUUCAAAAGGAUGAUUUUCACAACAUUAAAAAUUUUCCUUUGUUUGCUGUCCUUGAAAAAUUUUGGGUUUUUCAAUAUUGCUUGGUGUUUGGUGCAUAUGGCAUUACAAUCGGAAUUCUUACUACCAGCACGCUUGCGGUUUGUGUGAUUUACGGGGUUCUGAAACAACGUAUAGUCAUUUUCUCAUUUAACAUUGUAAAACUGAUCUUAUUGCCGUAGUUGACAUAGAUGGAGGAGGUCGUAAUAAUCUACUAUCUGUGAAGGAGGACUUUAGCAAAGGGUGGUUGCUGUUCUUUGGAUCUGGUAGAGCAAUCUAAUGUGCUUGCUGUUCCCAGCUGCUGGCCUUGAAAUUUUGUCAUGGUUUGAUAUUCAGAGAAUAUGGAAUGUUGAGGACAUAUUUUCAGUGACAUGAAGAGUGUGAAGUGAAUAACCUGCAAUGUGUAUGAAAAUGUACCAGAUCUGUACAUGAAAAUAUCUGCAACCACGAAUGUUAUGAAUUUCGUUUUGGGGUCAAUUGGAGUUGGUGCAGGUUGCCGUUAUACUGGCCUUUUGCAACGUCUUGAUAUCAGUUUGGAAGAAUAGCUCUGGGGAAUCGUCACUCAUACUCGAGUCAACCUGCAGACAGGUCGACCAGUUUGUCCAGACAGGAUGUCCUUCUCGCUUGAAGGUCACGAGAAACAUUACGUAAAACUGGCAUGCGAUGGUGUAGAGGUUGGGUGAGAAUGACACGUGUUUCAUCAUUAUCAAGCAGACCCAUCCCCAGCAACUUCAUCCUGCAGAA